AGUGAACGCUGGCGGUAGGCCUAACACAUGCAAGUCGAACGGCAGCACAGUAAGAGCUUGCUCUUACGGGUGGCGAGUGGCGGACGGGUGAGGAAUACAUCGGAAUCUACUUUUUCGUGGGGGAUAACUUAGGGAAACUUACGCUAAUACCGCAUACGACCUACGGGUGAAAGCAGGGGAUCUUCGGACCUUGCGCGAUUGAAUGAGCCGAUGUCGGAUUAGCUAGUUGGCGGGGUAAAGGCCCACCAAGGCGACGAUCCGUAGCUGGUCUGAGAGGAUGAUCAGCCACACUGGAACUGAGACACGGUCCAGACUCCUACGGGAGGCAGCAGUGGGGAAUAUUGGACAAUGGGCGCAAGCCUGAUCCAGCCAUACCGCGUGGGUGAAGAAGGCCUUCGGGUUGUAAAGCCCUUUUGUUGGGAAAGAAAAGCAGAAGGUUAAUACCCCGCUGUUCUGACGGUACCCAAAGAAUAAGCACCGGCUAACUUCGUG
Molecule: ribosomal RNA, 492 nt
Filed under: uncultured bacterium
Lineage: Bacteria
Description: partial 16S ribosomal RNA
Rfam family: Bacterial small subunit ribosomal RNA
Source: RNAcentral